UUUAGGCCUAACACAUGCAAGUCGAGCGGAUGAAGGUAGCUUGCUACUGGAUUCAGCGGCGGACGGGUGAGUAAUGCUUAGGAAUCUGCCUAUUAGUGGGGGACAACGUUCCGAAAGGAGCGCUAAUACCGCAUACGUCCUACGGGAGAAAGCAGGGGACCUUUGGGCCUUGCGCUAAUAGAUGAGCCUAAGUCGGAUUAGCUAGUUGGUAGGGUAAAGGCCUACCAAGGCGACGAUCUGUAGCGGGUCUGAGAGGAUGAUCCGCCACACUGGGACUGAGACACGGCCCAGACUCCUACGGGAGGCAGCAGUGGGGAAUAUUGGACAAUGGGGGGAACCCUGAUCCAGCCAUGCCGCGUGUGUGAAGAAGGCCUUUUGGUUGUAAAGCACUUUAAGCGAGGAGGAGGCUACCUAGAUUAAUACUUUAGGAUAGUGGACGUACUCGCAGAU
RNAcentral lists this ribosomal RNA (450 nucleotides) under Acinetobacter radioresistens. RNAcentral's name for it is "bacterial SSU rRNA". It matches the Rfam family "Bacterial small subunit ribosomal RNA", at positions 41 to 486 of the family's 1533-position model. Lineage: Bacteria; Pseudomonadati; Pseudomonadota; Gammaproteobacteria; Moraxellales; Moraxellaceae. The record is from RNAcentral.